AAUUUUCAAAAGGUUGAGGGGGUUCACAUUCCUGCCAGCAAAGCGUGAGCGCCUGUUGUGGCGAGGGCUGCGUGGCUGCUUUUUGACAAAAUGACUUGUUUUAAUUUGUUUCCCUGACCACUGGUGUGAGUGAGCUGUGUCUCCUGUUACAGAAGAGUCUCUCCAAUGCCAGCGCUCUGUGACUUAGCAGAUGUCUGUGGACUUCUGUCUGGGGAUUCUUAUCCACCUUCAAGUUCACCAACCCUCAGCUGGAGCACUGGAAAUGGGGACUCUGCUGCUUCUCUCCCUCUCUGGUGGGGAACUUGGGGCACAGGAACCUCAAACUAAGCUACUGCUGCAUCUGGUAGACCAUUUCUAAGCAGCACAGCGCUUCCUGUCUUUCCUGUUUCGGCCACGCUCUGUCGCAUCUGGACCCCGUAUGAAUGACUUGAAUGCCCCACCGGCCAGUGACACGCAUGUAGGCGGUGCCACGUUAAGUCACUGGACGUAUGCAGUGUCCCACUUCCGUGAACGUAUCUGCAGGGAAAAUCCAGAGGUGCAAUUCCCGAGGGAAGGUCAUUGCUGCUGUUACUUUAGUGGACAAGUCCGGAGUUCCCACUAGGCUCCCACAUCCUCUGCCUGCUGCAAGCAGUGUCUGUGGGCCGCAGUCUCACCUGUCAGUACAGUUUUUAUUUGCCAAUGUGUUAGGUGAAAGGAAAAAAAAGUCACUUCAACGGGGUUUUCCUUUUAUGUUUUACUUUUUUACCCUCACAUCCUGGGAAGGACACUUUAGUGUUUUGUUUUUGUUUUUGUUUUGAGACGGAGUCUGGCUCUGUAGCCCAGGCUGGAGUGCAGUGGCGCGAUCUCCACCUCGGCUCACUGCAAGCUCCGCCUCCCGGGUUCACGCCAUUCUCCUGCCUCAGCCUCCUGAGUAGCUGGGACUACAGGCGCCCACCACCGCGCCCAGCUAACUUUUUGUAUUUCUAGUAGAGACGGGGUUUCACCGUGGUCUCGAUCUCCUGACCUCGUGAUCCGCCCGCCUCGGCUUCCCAAAGUGCUGGGAUUACAAGCGUGAGCCACUGCUCCCGGCCUGGAGAGGUUUUUAAUUUGCAUUUCUGCGCUGAGGGGGGAGGAUCCCCGUAUCUCUGGCAGCUGUCCUUCAGUAUCUUCUCCGGGAGCCUUUGUAUGGUUGAUUUAGAGCUGUUUAUUACUACACUGUUACUAGUCUUAUUAAGGUGAGCUCUGUGAUGUGAGUUGCAAGUUGUGUGCCCCACCUCACAGUUGGGGGCUCGUCUUUUUGACUUCGCUUAUGUAGUUUGGCUCUGCAGACGCCCCCUACCCCCCUCCCACCCACGACGCGGUGGAACUUCUGGAUUCUGUGCCACGCUUGGAAAAGCCGCCUUGGCCCCAAGACAGAAAAAGCUUCCCUGAGUUUUCUUCUAGGCUUUAUCGCUUCCUUUUUUCGGCUUAAAUCUUACAUGAUGGGACUCCAUCCCGGUGCAAAAAAGUACCACGACUUGACCACGCACCCGUCUGAAUCGCCAUCCCAAUCGGGUACUACAGUCCCUAAGCACAAGCAGCCUUCUCGUCUGUGCAUAAAAGCGUGGAUCUGACACGCACCUGCAGCGGCUCUGCGGCGUGAAGGCCGGCCCAGGGGUCGCCGUGUUGAGGCGCCUGGCUCAGGCCCACGCGCGCCGGGCAGGGCAGGGCGCGGGCCCCUCUAGGUCCCAGGCGGAGGUCGGCGCCUCUGCGCCCCGCGGGCUCCCCGAGCCCGCCACGGACGUCCCGGCCGAGCAGAGCUGGGACUCACCGAACCGGCGGGGAAGCCCCGCGAAGCCCACGCCUCGGGGAGAAUUUCCUGCGUGUUCCAAGCGCGCCCGGCGCGACCUCUCAGUCCUGGGACCCCCGCGAUCCCUCCGUCCCGCGCGACCCUCCGUCCCGCGAGCCCCCUCCGGCG
This is a long non-coding RNA of Macaca mulatta (Rhesus monkey), 1936 nucleotides long. RefSeq lists it as uncharacterized. The record is from RefSeq and is a predicted model, not a curated record. Lineage: Eukaryota; Metazoa; Chordata; Mammalia; Primates; Cercopithecidae.